Molecule: ribosomal RNA, 388 nt
Filed under: uncultured eukaryote
Lineage: Eukaryota
Description: partial 18S ribosomal RNA
Rfam family: Eukaryotic small subunit ribosomal RNA
Source: RNAcentral
CCCUUAGAUGUCCGGGGCUGCACGCGCGCUACAAUGGUCGGAGCAGAAUGAAAAGAGACGGCUCCGCGAGGCGGGAGCGUCCUUCGGGGCCUCCCGUUCUUAAUGGUUGACCGUUCCCCGGGUCGACGGGCCCGGGAGAUCGGCUGGAAUCUCGAUCGUGAUCGGGACAGAGUCUUGUAAUUGUUACUCUCAAACGAGGAAUUCCUAGUAGGCGCAAGUCAUCAGCUUGCGUCGAUUACGUCCCUGCCCUUUGUACACACCGCCCGUCGCUCCUACCGAUUGGGUGUGCUGGUGAAAUGUUCGGAUCGGCCGUUUGUCGCGGUUUCCGCGUCAUGUGGCUGAGAAGUUCAUUAAACCCUCCCACCUAGAGGAAGGAGAAGUCGUAACA